This 130-nucleotide non-coding RNA is filed under the name uncultured eukaryote. The record is from RNAcentral.
ACAAAUUUGAACGAGCCGUUAACACUGAGCAAUGUCCCAAAUUUGAUCCGUUCUUUUUCUUGCGAUGUAUUUUUGCUAUUCUUCUUAUUUUUAUACUUGUUUCUUCGCCUGCUGUUUUGUGUGUUUAGUA